UAGAACAUGGGUCAAUUGCCAUAUUGAAUGUGUUCUUGUUUGCAACAAAUAAUUGGGUUAAGAACUAGUUAUGAGAAAUCGAUUCUUGAAUUCCUAAUAACAAAUGCCAUGUUUUAGGGUUUUUGUGACACUCAUAUUCUCUUUGAUCUUAAUGGAUUCUUGAUUGUUAAUUUGAGUAAAUGUCAUACUAGAUUUCAAUUAAGAAUACAUGUAUUGAUGUAAAUGCCAUACACUUUACAUACACUUAAGAGAGAAUCAU
Molecule: long non-coding RNA, 259 nt
Filed under: Prunus persica (peach)
Lineage: Eukaryota; Viridiplantae; Streptophyta; Magnoliopsida; Rosales; Rosaceae
Description: long non-coding RNA (PPER_LNC005258)
Source: RNAcentral